GGGAGGGAGGGAGUCAAGGUGGAGCUGCCAGAUGCAUACUGGAAGAAGCCCAGCAGUCUGAGAGGAAACCUCACUGGCUGGGCUUCUAAUCAACUCCUGACAGGCAAAAAGACAGCAAGCGAAGCUUUCCCAUUGCCUUCCACGUCAGGAAGAACUUCACUUACUAACUUCCUUCAGGAAGAGCAGGAGUAGUUUAGAAAUAAAGCGCCAGCUUGGGUUCUUGGCAUUUCCAGCCUCCUCAGCUCCAUCUCAACGAGGCAGAAGAACAAAAGAACCAUAACAUGAGGGGAAAGAAGGAGCAGGCUAACCAAACAGAAGCACCAAAUAUGAGCCAGCGUCUCCCUCUCAGCUCUUUUCCACCAUCUUUGCCCACAAAGGUUUAUCACACAGAGAGGCCAGACACAAAUUCUUGAGUUCAGCAUGGAAAGACUGCAAGUGCUGCCUGCAACCACUAGAGUCCACAGUGGCUGCAUGUAUUGAAUUUCAAGAGGCUGCAGGCAAUGAAGGAAAAAGAUAGACAAGCAACGCUUCCGUCACACACUUAUUCAGAAUUAAAUUCCACAAAGUUUAACACAGCCUGCUUUCUGUUUAUACAGUCCAAAUCUGUGUAUGCAAACUCUGAAGUAUGGCUAAAUUCCAAAAAAAAAAAAAACUUACUGCCAAUUAAUGUAUAGGACUGCACCUUCAGUGUUUUAGCUUGCAGCUGUGAUCCUGUACACACUUACAAAGAAUACAUCCUACUGAGCACAGCAGGGCCUACUUCUGAGUACACAUAUGUAGGCUGAGUGUACGCCAACCAGAAUGUUGAGUUGCAUUACAAGGGCCACCACUAUAUCCUCUUUUGCAUUAUCAGUAGUGGGACGUUUGCCUAAGUUGUGAGGCAGACAGACAACAAAAUGUAGUCCUCAUGUACAAAGUUAUGGACUGAACCACAACCUACCUGCAAGAACAACAGAUAGUAACUUGGAAGUUGGCAAAACACAUCAGAUUCCCGCCAACUAAAGCAGAGUGACCCAUGAGCUUUUGUCUCUGAGCUCUCUUCUCUUUUACAGGGACUUUUCUGUCAUCCACAACAAAAGCAGGUAUCUUGCAGGGACAAAGCAGAUCCCUUUUCUUCCCCAAGUAUGUAAUAAGGUAUCUGAAAAAUGCUUAAAAUCUUCCUAUUGAAUUUAACUUUAUAAAGAUAACACAAAAGGUCACACAAAUAUAUGAGCUUGCAAGACUUCCAAAGCGUUCAUCUGAUAAGAUGGUACAAAGCUAGUUGAGCAUGGUGGACAGGAGUGGGAUUUCUUAAAAGGGUAAUUUUAUAUUGAAUUAAUGGUAUCUGCAUGCUCAGGCUAAGAUGAAAUGGUGAUGGAACCACUACAUGUUCAACAUCCAGUUAGCACUUCCACC
This is a non-coding RNA of Pogona vitticeps (central bearded dragon), 1395 nucleotides long. Lineage: Eukaryota; Metazoa; Chordata; Lepidosauria; Squamata; Agamidae. The record is from RefSeq and is a predicted model, not a curated record.